This 401-nucleotide ribosomal RNA is filed under the name Nematoda environmental sample. RNAcentral's name for it is "SSU rRNA". It matches the Rfam family "Eukaryotic small subunit ribosomal RNA", at positions 29 to 436 of the family's 1831-position model. The record is from RNAcentral. Lineage: Eukaryota; Metazoa; Nematoda.
UGCUUGUCUCAAAGAUUAAGCCAUGCAUGCCUAAGCCUGAACUAAAUUAAAGUGAAGCCACGAAUAGCUCAUUACCACAGCCGUUGUUUCUCGGAUCUCCGUAAUACUGGAUAACUGUGGUAAUUCUAGAGCUAAUACACGCAAUCGAGCUCCGACCGUAAGGAACGAGCGCAUUUAUUAGAACAAAACCAAUCAGUGCUUGCACUGUGGUUUGGUGAAUCUGAAUAACUGAGCAGAUCGAUACGGUCUUGUACCGGCGAAAGUAUCUCAAGUGUCUGCCUUAUCAACUUUCGAUGGUAGUUUAUGUGCCACAGGGUUGUAACGGGUAACGGAGAAUUAGGGUUCGACUCCGGAGAGGGAGCCUGAGAAACGGCGACCACUUCCRAGGAAGGCAGCAGGCA